CUAUGCCUGGCUCCUUGUAUGCCAUUUGCUAAGCCUAUCAGCGAAUUGGUGGCUUUCGCUAGAUGGCGUGCGAGGAGCCAUGCAUGU
Molecule: microRNA precursor, 87 nt
Filed under: Morus notabilis
Lineage: Eukaryota; Viridiplantae; Streptophyta; Magnoliopsida; Rosales; Moraceae
Description: mir-160 microRNA precursor family
Rfam family: mir-160 microRNA precursor family
About the family: The hairpin precursors (represented here) are predicted based on base pairing and cross-species conservation -- their extents are not known. In this case the mature sequence is excised from the 5' arm of the hairpin.
Source: Rfam by way of RNAcentral